UCUCCGUUGGUGAACCAGCGGAGGGAUCAUUACAGAGUUUUCACAACUCCCAACCCUUGCGAACCUACCCCAUUCUGUUCUCGUUGCUUCCGGCGGCGGGCACCGGGGGGCCCGAACCUGCCUCCCCGCCCCCCGCGCCGGGCUCGCCCUUCCCCACGUACCUCUAUAUCUCAACUUUCUGCAACCGACGUCGAAACUAUACAAAAUAAUCAAAAUUUUCAUCAACGGAUCUCUUGACUCAGCCAUCGAUGAAGAACGCCGCCGAACGGAAGAGCACAC
This 279-nucleotide unclassified non-coding RNA is filed under the name plant metagenome. Its description in RNAcentral is "partial contains small subunit ribosomal RNA, internal transcribed spacer 1, and 5.8S ribosomal RNA". The record is from RNAcentral.